AAUUCAACACGCUCAAUUUAAAUACUCCGUGUGCAAGUAAUUUAUAGAAUAAAAGUAGUCGUAACGAAACCAUAACGUGCGUGUCAUAACAAAACGCAAGCGACUUUCUAGUUUCUAGUGUCAGUGUCAAGUCAAACCCUGAAUCAGUGUAAUUAUCGUGUUGAGGAAAUAGUGAAUUAUUUCUAAGAUAUUAAGUUUGUUAUUUAUGUAGUGACGAAAAAAAAAACAUAAUGAACAUUUGCAGAACUUGCCUCGAAACUCCAGCUGAUAAACAUAUUUCGGAGCUGGAAAAAGACAUAAAAGAGACCAACCGAAACUGCUUCGAUAUUAUGCUGUUUUGUUUAGAUAUCGAGGUGACCCACGGCUCCAAAAUAACAAGACAUUUAUGCAGCAAGUGCUAUACAAAAAUCGUAACAUUUUACAAUUUUAAAACCACAUCUCUAAAAAAUGAUUCAUAUUUAAAGUCUCUGGACCCAGCUCUAGGGUUGGAAACGCAGAAACUGUCUGGGUAUGUGGAUGAAAAUGGAAUUAAACAGGAAGAGAUAGUAGACAAAGACUGCAAAGCAGAUAUUAAAAUAGAAAUCGAAAUAAUGAAUGAUGAGUCGCUAGGGGAUUUAGAAGUAGAUGUUAAAAAAGAAUACACAUCAGAAGAUGCAGAGACAUAUGUAGAGCCUGUUUGUUUUAAAGACAAAGUUGAAUCUAGAAAUAUUUCAGAUAAUUCUGAAAAAAACGCACCAGUGUAUCAGCAAUCUGUACCUCCCAAGAAAUUUCCAUCUGCAAAAGUGCAGCAAAAACGUGAAGUAUGUGAGGAAUGUGGCAAGUCUUUCCGUAAUGUUAAGAAGCAUGCUCUCCAGCACCGCCCCAGGGGGGAACGGCAGGCUAUACAGUGUGAGGCCUGUCCUAAGACCUUUAUCAAUAAAACAAGUCUAAAAAAUCAUUACAAGAACACUCAUUUAGGCAUAAAAUCUAAAUGUGACAUUUGUAAUAAAGUGGUGAUACACCUGAGCGUGCACAAGAUGCAAGUUCACAACCCGGACACCCUGCGCUACGGCUGCCCCACGUGCGAGCGCCGCUUCAUAACGCGGGCCGCGCUGGACCUACACGCCACUGUACACACCCGCGACCUUAAGUAUCAGUGUGAUAUAUGCCAGAAGAAGUUUCGUUUGAGGAACAGUAUAUUGAGACAUAUACGAGACUUCCAUCAAAAGGAAAGAAAUCAUCAAUGUAAAUUGUGCAAUAAGGCUUUUUUCGGCAAAAUGUCAUUUAAGAGACAUUUAGAAUCGCACUCUAAUGAGCGACUCUACAAGUGCAAAAAAUGUGACAAAGCCUUCAAGACGAAGGAAUAUCUCAGAAAACAUUCCCGAAUCACUCAUAGCGACGUCAAGAACUUCAACUGUGAACUAUGCAGCAAGAGCUUCAAGAGAUCCUCCGACCGAAACACUCAUAUGCGCACACACACGGGAGAGAAGCCGUACCCGUGCCGUCACUGCGACGCGCGCUUCAGGCAAACCAGCGCGCGCAAAAGACAUGAGCUAGUUAUGCACGAGGAACUUAACAAGUUCUAAUGAACGUGGUAAGAAGUAGAUACUGUUUCAGGGAUAGACAUACUCAAAAGCGCAUACACACAGGAGAGAAACCGUACCCAUGCCGACCCUGCAUUACUAGCUUCAGGCAAUUCAGCACGCGCAACAGACAUGAGCGAGGUAUGCACGAGGAACUUAACAAGAUCUAAGGAUCGUGGUAAUUCAUAUCACAUGCACCGUCAAUAAUCGCUGCUUACUUGCCUAUACACUAUACCUACCGACGGUGUAACAAUGCUGUUUCGUUUAGCUUCUGUUGGGUGGACCAUCCGACCCGACGUCAUGGAAGAGUUUAUAUCCGAAGGGGAUGGCGCUGCUUCUAAAGAGACCGAGGUGUCUGUGUCUAUAGCGAGCCUCAACAUUUUCUAAAUACAAUAAGCGAUGUAUGGUUUAUUAAAUAUAUUAAACAUCUUACAUUAAAACAGA
This is an RNA transcript of Cydia pomonella (codling moth), 2006 nucleotides long. It is a transcript of the gene named zinc finger protein 155-like, with no coding region annotated. NCBI's taxonomy places the organism in Eukaryota, Metazoa, Arthropoda, Insecta, Lepidoptera, Tortricidae. The transcript has 8 exons. The record is from RefSeq and is a predicted model, not a curated record.